Molecule: ribosomal RNA, 253 nt
Filed under: uncultured bacterium
Lineage: Bacteria
Description: partial 16S ribosomal RNA
Rfam family: Bacterial small subunit ribosomal RNA
Source: RNAcentral
UACAGAGGUCCCAAGCGUUGUUCGGAUUCACUGGGCGUAAAGGGUGCGUAGGCGGUCGGGUAAGUCUGAUGUGAAAUCUCACAGCUUAACUGUGAAACUGCAUUGGAUACUAUCCGGCUCGAGGAAUGGAGGGGAGACCGGAAUACUUGGUGUAGCAGUGAAAUGCGUAGAUAUCGGAAGGAACACCAGUGGCGAAAGCGGCUUCCUGGUCCGACACCGACGUUCAGGCACGAAAGCGUGGGGAGCAAACAGG